Molecule: transfer RNA, 75 nt
Filed under: Candidatus Woesearchaeota archaeon
Lineage: Archaea; Nanobdellati; Candidatus Woesearchaeota
Description: tRNA-Arg
Rfam family: tRNA
About the family: Transfer RNA (tRNA) molecules are approximately 80 nucleotides in length. Their secondary structure includes four short double-helical elements and three loops (D, anti-codon, and T loops).
Source: RNAcentral
GGGCCCGUAGCCUAGUCUGGAUAAGGCGACGGCCUUCUAAGCCGUAGAUCGGGGGUUCGAAUCCCCCCGGGCUCA